RNAcentral lists this long non-coding RNA (200 nucleotides) under Lathyrus oleraceus (garden pea). RNAcentral's name for it is "Pisum sativum (pea) long non-coding RNA (PSAT_LNC038632)". Lineage: Eukaryota; Viridiplantae; Streptophyta; Magnoliopsida; Fabales; Fabaceae. The record is from RNAcentral.
AGAAAGACAGGGAUCACAAAGUUUGAUUUCAAAAAAAAUGUCCUUCAUUAAUGAUAAUCAUUAAAACAUGAUGAGGCCCUACAAAAUGAAUCACUACGCCUUGGGCAGAACGUAGGAUUUUCAUGCAAAAUGACAAAACAACAGAAAAUUACUCUGUCAGAAGAGUAACUUGAACCACUUCUUCAGCCGUCCAGUUGUUG